AGAUUAAUGAUAAGGAAAUGGGUCAGAGGGAUUAAAAGCCAGAGCAAGAGAUUGCCGAGAAGAUGAACCGCAGCCCACUCACUCCCCUGUGUCCACUUCCAUCUACAGAAGCUGGAUGGGAAGUCCCGUCCCAGCAGGGCUCCUGUGAAGUCGUGGGGAAAGCUCACCAUCAGAACCUGAGGCAGAGCCAGGCACCGCCCUCCACCGGCGGCAGCAGAGCUCACGGCUGGGAAAGGCCCGCAGAAGCGGGGAAGAGCCUUUGAAGUCCUGCUCUUGCAGAAACAAGCCUAUAAAUGAUGGCGUCUGUCAUAAGCACGAUAUGAAGCCGGGUUGUGGCCAAAAGAGAACAUCAAAUCCUGGAUCAUCGAUUUUCUGACCUUAGAGGCCCCUUUCAGGAUGAAGCCUCAUAAUUUUCAAGCUUCUCCAGUGUUCAUCCCCCAGAGAAAUGUGCCCUAUUCUUCCCAUAAUCCAGCAAACACCUAUUAAUUAACUGGAGGGGGAAAAAAAAGAGAAUUGUAGGGGAAGUAUGAUGGGGCAGUAAAACAGUAGGUACCCUCACUGACCCCAGGGCAGUAUGUAAUCCACCGCAAAUCUCCUCCCAAAUUACAACAAUGGCUUGUAGAGGAGAGGAAGAAGAGAAACCCUAAAUUUUAUUCCUACUUCCAACAUCUGCUCCCUCUCCAUUGUUGGGUGACCCGCCUAGAGUGGCUCUUGGUCUCCAUUCCUGCAGCAGGUUGGAAAAAAGAUUGUGUAAUGUCAGUCAAGUACCAAGCAAUUGAAAAGCAAGUGGUAUUAUUCAUCUGGAAAUUGACCUAGCUAGUCUUUGUCUCGGCUGCUAGAGCUAAUUUCAUUCACAGGUGCCAUGUUAUUUACUGAUUUAACCAUCUCCUUCAGUACCACUUCUCAGCAUUGCACUUUGAAGUAAAAUAAUGUUCUUGUGUGUGUGUCUUGAUUACACAUGUCACCGGAGACAGAAAUGAAGGUUUAAAAUUUCCUGCUAGGUGUUUGCUCUUCCUGGCUCGGAUCCGGCACGGCUGCCGGCUAUCAGGUUCCAUACACCAGCUGUGGUGUGGUGAGUGGGGGGCAGGGACUAGAACAGAAGCUCCCUCGUUCAUUCAACAAACAUUCUGUCGUAGGAUGGGUUCUCAAGGAAGCAGAUCCCAAGUCAAGGACUUGAGAGCAAGUCCUUUACUGGAGAACCAAAGAAAAUGACAGUUGUGAGGUGAGGAAGUAAGACAAAGAAAGGAAGGCAGUCAAUCAAGGGUGCAUUGUUGGGUCAUCUGGGAAAUUUGGGAUCUGGGGUAGAACACAUGCCUC
This 1317-nucleotide long non-coding RNA is filed under the name Ursus maritimus (polar bear). RNAcentral describes it as "lncRNA (ENSUMAG00000018665.1)". Lineage: Eukaryota; Metazoa; Chordata; Mammalia; Carnivora; Ursidae. The record is from RNAcentral.